UACGUAGGGUGCAAGCGUUGUCCGGAAUUACUGGGUGUAAAGCGCGUGUAGGCGGCAGGCCAAGUCUGCGGUGAAAGCGCCCGGCUCAACUGGGCGAGGUCCGUGGAAACUGGUCAGCUGGAGGACGGUAGAGGCGAGUGGGAUUCCCGGUGUAGUGGUGAAAUGCGUAGAGAUCGGGAGGAACACCUGUGGCGAAGGCGGCUCGCUGGGCCGGUCCUGACGCUGAGACGCGAAGGCGUGGGAGCGAACGGG
This 252-nucleotide ribosomal RNA is filed under the name uncultured bacterium. RNAcentral describes it as "partial 16S ribosomal RNA". It matches the Rfam family "Bacterial small subunit ribosomal RNA", at positions 524 to 776 of the family's 1533-position model. The record is from RNAcentral.